Molecule: ribosomal RNA, 1016 nt
Filed under: uncultured bacterium
Lineage: Bacteria
Description: bacterial SSU rRNA
Rfam family: Bacterial small subunit ribosomal RNA
Source: RNAcentral
AGGAAUAUUGGUCAAUGGGCGCGAGCCUGAACCAGCCAAGUAGCGUGAAGGAUGAAGGUCCUACGGAUUGUAAACUUCUUUUAUAAGGGAAUAAAGUCACCCACGUGUGGGUGUUUGUAUGUACCUUAUGAAUAAGCAUCGGCUAACUCCGUGCCAGCAGCCGCGGUAAUACGGAGGAUGCGAGCGUUAUCCGGAUUUAUUGGGUUUAAAGGGAGCGUAGACGGGUCGUUAAGUCAGCUGUGAAAGUUUGGGGCUCAACCUUAAAAUUGCAGUUGAUACUGGCGUCCUUGAGUACGGUUGAGGCAGGCGGAAUUCGUGGUGUAGCGGUGAAAUGCUUAGAUAUCACGAAGAACCCCGAUUGCGAAGGCAGCCUGCUAAACCGCCACUGACGUUGAGGCUCGAAAGUGUGGGUAUCAAACAGGAUUAGAUACCCUGGUAGUCCACACGGUAAACGAUGAAUACUCGCUGUUUGCGAUAUACUGCAAGCGGCCAAGCGAAAGCGUUAAGUAUCCCACCUGGGGAGUACGCCGGCAACGGUGAAACUCAAAGGAAUUGACGGGGGCCCGCACAAGCGGAGGAACAUGUGGUUUAAUUCGAUGAUACGCGAGGAACCUUACCCGGGCUUGAAUUGCAGACGAAUUGCUUGGAAACAGGCAAGCCGCAAGGCGUCUGUGAAGGUGCUGCAUGGUUGUCGUCAGCUCGUGCCGUGAGGUGUCGGCUUAAGUGCCAUAACGAGCGCAACCCUCGUGUCCAGUUACUAGCAGGUUAUGCUGAGGACUCUGGACAGACUGCCAUCGUAAGAUGUGAGGAAGGUGGGGAUGACGUCAAAUCAGCACGGCCCUUACGUCCGGGGCUACACACGUGUUACAAUGGGGGGUACAGCAGGCAGCUACCGGGCGACCGGAUGCCAAUCCCGAAAGCCUCUCUCAGUUCGGACUGGAGUCUGCAACCCGACUCCACGAAGCUGGAUUCGCUAGUAAUCGCGCAUCAGCCACGGCGCGGUGAAUACGUUCCCG